UACGGAGGGUGCAAGCGUUAUCCGGAUUCACUGGGUUUAAAGGGUUCGUAGGUGGGUUGGUAAGUCAGUGGUGAAAUCUCCGAGCUUAACUUGGAAACUGCCAUUGAUACUAUCAGUCUUGAAUAUUGUGGAGGUUAGCGGAAUAUGUCAUGUAGCGGUGAAAUGCUUAGAUAUGACAUAGAACACCAAUUGCGAAGGCAGCUGGCUACACAUAUAUUGACACUGAGGCACGAAAGCGUGGGGAUCAAACAGG
RNAcentral lists this ribosomal RNA (253 nucleotides) under uncultured bacterium. Its description in RNAcentral is "partial 16S ribosomal RNA". It matches the Rfam family "Bacterial small subunit ribosomal RNA", at positions 524 to 776 of the family's 1533-position model. The record is from RNAcentral.